RNAcentral lists this ribosomal RNA (253 nucleotides) under uncultured prokaryote. RNAcentral's name for it is "partial 16S ribosomal RNA". It matches the Rfam family "Bacterial small subunit ribosomal RNA", at positions 523 to 775 of the family's 1533-position model. The record is from RNAcentral.
AUACAGAGGUCCCAAGCGUUGUUCGGAUUCACUGGGCGUAAAGGGUGCGUAGGUGGUGGGGUAAGUCGGAUGUGAAAUCUCCGAGCUCAACUCGGAAAUGGCAUUGGAAACUACCCUGCUAGAGGGUCGGAGGGGGGACUGGAAUACUUGGUGUAGCAGUGAAAUGCGUAGAUAUCAAGUGGAACACCAGUGGCGAAGGCGAGUCCCUGGACGACUCCUGACACUGAGGCACGAAAGCUAGGGGAGCAAACAG